Molecule: ribosomal RNA, 401 nt
Filed under: uncultured Polyangium sp.
Lineage: Bacteria; Pseudomonadati; Myxococcota; Polyangiales; Polyangiaceae
Description: bacterial SSU rRNA
Rfam family: Bacterial small subunit ribosomal RNA
Source: RNAcentral
AGAAAGGGCUUCGGCCCCGGUACAGUGACCGCACCGGGUGAGUAACACCGUGGGUAAUCUUCCCUCGAGCGGGGGAUAACAUUCCGAAAGGAGUGCUAAUACCCGCAUAAGGACCACCGGCCUCGAAAGAGGCUGCCGGUCAAAGCUGGCCUCUAUACAUAAGCUAGCACUUGAGGAUGAGCCCGCGGCCCAUCAGGUAGUUGGUAGGGUAACCGGCCUACCAAGCCAAAGACGGGUAGCUGGUCUGAGAGGAUGAUCAGCCACACUGGAACUGAGACACGGUCCAGACUUCUACGGAAGGCAGCAGUGGGGAAUCUUGCGCAAUGGGCCGAAAGCCUUGACCGCCAAGCCGACGCCGCGUGAGUGAUGAAGGCCUUCGGGUUGUAAAGCUCUGUGGGGAG